CCUGGUUGAUUCUGCCCCUAUUCAUAUGCUUGUCUCAAAGAUUAAGCCAUGCAUGUCUAAGUAUAAGCAACUUUGUACUGUGAAACUGCGAAUGGCUCAUUAAAUCAGUUAUAGUUUAUUUGAUGGUUUUUGCUACAUGGAUAACUGUGGUAAUUCUAGAGCUAAUACAUGCAUUCAAGCCCCGACUUCUGGAAGGGGUGUAUUUAUUAGAUAAAAAUCAACUUUGUUGGUGAAUCAUAAUAACUUCUCGGACCGCAUGGCCUUGUGCUGGCGGUGCUUCAUUCAAAUAUCUGCCCUAUCAACUGUCGAUGGUAGGAUAGAGGCCUACCAUGGUUGCAACGGGUAACGGGGAAUAAGGGUUCGAUUCCGGAGAGGGAGCCUGAGAAACGGCUACCACAUCCAAGGAAGGCAGCAGGCGCGCAAAUUACCCAAUCCCGACACGGGGAGGUAGUGACAAUAUGUAACAAUAUACGGCCUUAUACGUCGUAUAAUUGGAAUGAGUACAAUUUAAAUCCCUUAACGAGGAACAAUUGGAGGGCAAGUCUGGUGCCAGCAGCCGCGGUAAUUCCAGCUCCAAUAGCGUAUAUUAAAGUUGUUGCAGUUAAAAAGCUCGUAGUUGGACCUUGGACCUGGACAGGCGGUCCGCCUCACGGCGAGUACUGUCUUGCUGGGUCUUUCCUCUUGGUGAUCUGUUGUUUCGGCAGCAGGGAACCAGGACCUUUACUUUGAAAAAAUUAGAGUGUUCAAAGCAGGCUCGACGCCGGAAUAUAUUAGCAUGGAAUAAUAAAAUAGGACGUGCGGUUCUAUUUUGUUGGUUUUUGGAAUCGCCGUAAUGAUUAAUAGGGACAGUCGGGGGCAUUAGUACUCACAUGCUAGAGGUGAAAUUCUUGGAUUUUGUGAAGACUAACUUCUGCGAAAGCAUUUGCCAAGGAUGUUUUC
This 939-nucleotide ribosomal RNA is filed under the name uncultured fungus. RNAcentral's name for it is "SSU rRNA". It matches the Rfam family "Eukaryotic small subunit ribosomal RNA", at positions 1 to 971 of the family's 1831-position model. The record is from RNAcentral. Lineage: Eukaryota; Fungi.